UACGAAGGGGGCUAGCGUUGCUCGGAAUUACUGGGCGUAAAGCGCACGUAGGCGGCUUCUUAAGUCGGUGGUGAAAUCCUGGAGCUCAACUCCAGAACUGCCUUCGAUACUGGGAGCUCGGAGUCCGGGAGAGGUGAGUGGGAACUGCGAGUGUAGAGGUGAAAUUCGUAGAAUAUUCGCAAGAACACCAGUGGCGAAGGCGGCUCACUGGCCCGGUACUGACGCUGAGGCACGAAAGCGUGGG
RNAcentral lists this ribosomal RNA (244 nucleotides) under uncultured bacterium. Its description in RNAcentral is "partial 16S ribosomal RNA". It matches the Rfam family "Bacterial small subunit ribosomal RNA", at positions 524 to 765 of the family's 1533-position model. The record is from RNAcentral.